This 373-nucleotide ribosomal RNA is filed under the name uncultured organism. RNAcentral describes it as "partial 16S ribosomal RNA". It matches the Rfam family "Bacterial small subunit ribosomal RNA", at positions 527 to 896 of the family's 1533-position model. The record is from RNAcentral.
GUAGGUGGCAGGCGUUGUCCGGAAUUAUUGGGCGUAAAGCGCGCGCAGGCGGUUCUUUAAGUCUGAUGUGAAAGCCCACGGCUCAACCGUGGAGGGUCAUUGGAAACUGGAGAACUUGAGUACAGAAGAGGAAAGCGGAAUUCCACGUGUAGCGGUGAAAUGCGUAGAGAUGUGGAGGAACACCAGUGGCGAAGGCGGCUUUCUGGUCUGUAACUGACGCUGAGGCCCGAAAGCGUGGGGAGCAAACAGGGAUUAGAUACCCUGGUAGUCCACGCCGUAAACGAUGAGUGCUAAGUGUUAGGGGGUUUCCCGCCCCUUAGUGCUGCAGCUAACGCAUUAAGCACUCCGCCUGGGGAGUACGGCCGCAAGGCUG